GUAGGUGGCAAGCGUUGUCCGGAAUUAUUGGGCGUAAAGCGCGCGCAGGCGGUUCUUUAAGUCUGAUGUGAAAGCCCACGGGCUCAACCGUGGAGGGUCAUUGGAAACUGGAGAACUUGAGUACAGAAGAGGAAAGCGGAAUUCCACGUGUAGCGGUGAAAUGCGUAGAGAUGUGGAGGAACACCAGUGGCGAAGGCGGCUUUCUGGUCUGUAACUGACGCUGAGGCGCGAAAGCGUGGGGAGCAAAUAGGAUUAGAUACCCUGGUAGUCCACGCCGUAAACGAUGAGUGCUAAGUGUUAGGGGGUUUCCGCCCCUUAGUGCUGCAGCUAACGCAUUAAGCACUCCGCCUGGGGAGUACGGCCGCAAGGCUG
This 372-nucleotide ribosomal RNA is filed under the name uncultured organism. RNAcentral's name for it is "partial 16S ribosomal RNA". It matches the Rfam family "Bacterial small subunit ribosomal RNA", at positions 527 to 896 of the family's 1533-position model. The record is from RNAcentral.